Molecule: long non-coding RNA, 2747 nt
Filed under: Ricinus communis (castor bean)
Lineage: Eukaryota; Viridiplantae; Streptophyta; Magnoliopsida; Malpighiales; Euphorbiaceae
Description: long non-coding RNA (RCOM_LNC001260)
Source: RNAcentral
UCAAACCAUUCUAUGCUCUUCUUUCUCUGCUUUUUCUUUGAUUUGUGACUUAUUUAUCAACCAAAUUCUAUAAAAUCAAUCUUGAAAUGGUUGGCUCUUCAUCUAGAUUGACUAGGCGUACCCUAGUAGCUCCAGAUUAAAAGUUUUCACCGCUAAUUUUUCACCAGAAUGGUCUUGGACUUGUCAAAUGGGAGGAAAUAUUUAUUUUGGCAAAAUUAAACACUCAUCAGGCGUCUUCAGCCGUCAAAGAGGUAUUUUCUUGAAUUAAAUCUUAUUUUUUUAUUUAUAUACUAGAUAUACACGUUAUCUACUCAAAAUGCAUGAAAAAAUAUUGAAAAAGUCAAAGAAAUUGUGUGACCUAACCCACAGAGCAUAUUUGACUACGCGUAGUCGAUCGGCUCUACAUAGUCUGAAUCAACAGUGCACGGGAAAAUUAGUUUUUAGAGCAUUUUGACAUAAAACAAUAAUAAAUAAACAAUAUACUUACUUGUUUCGAUUCUCGGUGUGUAUUGUGUUUUUAAUACCUAUUUUUGCAUUUUUCAGAGCGAUGUUGUAUCGAUCUAGUUCGUGAAAAUUUUUACGGGGCAUGCGAAUGGUUUGAUGAGUUACCGAGUCUUAUGCAGGCUAGGAUCGGCAACACUAGAUUUCGCUGAGUUUUUGCUAUAUUGCCAUAUAUUACCGAAAGGACUGACCAUACCUCGGUUCACGCUCUGAUAGAGAGGUCGAUGGACACCGCCCAAACAUUUCAUACACUAGUCUCCGCCCCCUUACCUUGAUGUGGUAUUCUCAGGGGCCGAAGUGCAAUGUCCCACUGACUGUGCUCGGACUGCUGGAGCCGAAACUGGUUGGUGCUUUGCCGGGCUCCGGGAAAAGCGGAUUCUCAGUUAGCUGCUUUUUUUUAGCAUAGGAGGGUGGUCGUAGAUCAAGAAGCAAGUCUGACACUCAUAUUGGAAGGGACUGAAUUCCGCAACUUAUUAGGAGUAGGGACUUACGGUCCAUGCAUUAAAGCGCUUUUUUUUUGUCUGAAAAAGUGAUUGUUUUAACACCGAUUUGAUAAGAUUACAAAAUGAUUCUCUUUCUUGUAUGCUCCCAUCUGAUCUACGAGGAGUUGACUCUAUCUCCACUAUCCUUUGCCGCCAUCACUAAGAUUGACUUCACAAGUAUGCUUGUACCUUUUGACGAUGCCAUCCACGACCAGUGCUCCGAAGUUCGGGAGCAUUAUAUUACUAAUUUGCUAGGUUUCUUGUCAGCGUGCAAGAACACUCGGUGCUUGGCUUACUAGAGAAUUCCCUUCCAUUAUAUGGGCUUGUGCCUCAGAAUGCUCAUGAGGUAGAUUAAAUGGCUUAAGCCUUAUUUGUGUAUCACUUCGGGAAUACAUUGUUUAGUAACUCAUAAAACUCAUUGCACUUCUAUUAUUUGGCCUCGUUGAGGAAUUUAGACUAGGUCUCCUCUUUAAAAUGGGGAUCUAUGGCUCUUGCUUACAUGUACCAUCGGAUGGACAUUACUGUUCGUAGGAGCAAAAGGAUAUGCGACUUUUGGCAUGCGAUACACAUAAGUUCUACUGCUAUAAUUUCUUCCUUUUCUACUUUCUUGUAUUGACGUGGUAGCUACUCACUCUUAAUUUGUAGGUUUGGGCCUUAGAUAUUGGCCUUCUGGUGGGCUCUCAUCCUAUUAGCAUGUCUUGAGCUUUCCCGCAUUUGAGCUACUGGGGCUUAAGCAAGAGCAUCCAUCUAGAGUGGGCACAGGUCCAUGUGCAUCGCAUGUGGAUCAACUCCUUGACUUGGAAUAAGGUAAAAAGAAAAUUAAUUAGUCAUGUUUAUAUUUUACAAGUUUCAGUUACUUACUUUUUCAAUAUGCAGAUUUAUAGCGACUAGCUUAGUGAGUGCCGUCACUGGGAUCCCUAUAUAUGGACCUUAAUCACAGGAGGCUCCUCUUGGCUGGCCCUACUUGUCGGGUCUGGUUCUUAGGCAAAAGGAUCUACAACUAGGAAAGGGGGCCUAGUAGACACCGGGUUCCUUUAUCUUCCCCGCUCUCUAUGUUUUGGACGGUGGACCUUGUCGGCGAGGAGCUAGCAAGGAGUCUGGAGGGAUAAUGAUGAAUUUGAGGAUCUCACCAUUUGGUCUCGGAAGAUGGACUACACCUCCUUCAUCCCUCAGCUACUAGGGCCCGUGCCCUUAAUAAUGAUACUAUGGCUUAGGUUUGUUCUUGACUUUAUCAAGUUUUCACUUUCUUUUUUUCUCUUUACUUGGUUACCCAUUUAGCUGCUUUACUAUAGUUCAUUUGUUGUGCGCCUCUGGCUCUUAGGCCGAUAGAGGAGCGGUUUGGUUGCUGUUCCAAGCCCUCCCAUAUCUUAAGCUCCUCUAUGGGUGCUACAUUUGAGGCACCUCCUACGAUGAUUUUAGACAUGGUGCCUGGGACCGUCCCGUUUCUUUCAGACCCGAUGAUAUCCUACUAGAGUCCUGCUGGAACCAUAGAGCAUAAGCUUACUCCGAACACUUGUAGACACGUUAUUCUUUUUGGUACUUUAUCUCUUUUUUUUUCUUGAAGUGUUAGCAAUAUACAUAAUCAUAUAGGUUGAGAGAGAUCAGUUCGAGCACAUACAUAGACUAGUCGGUGCCAUGAGGAGAUCUUCAUCCUUGGCAAGGACUAACGGGUAAGGAAAUUGUCACACCUCAUCUCGCGUAGCCCAAGAUGGAUAUUUAAAACAAAACGCUCACUAACGUCCUUUUAGUUUAGUUGAAUUAUAG